GUGCUUACAAACAGUCGGAGCUUCGACCUUGCCUUCGGGCAUGGAAGGAGGUGACGGCGUGCCUUUUGCAUAAUGAGCCGGCGAGUUACUGGUACGUGGCAAGGUUAAGUCGCUCAGCGACGAAGCCGCAGCGAAAGCGAGUCCGAACAGGGCGUUGAGUCACGUGCCGUAGACCCGAAGCCAGGUGAUCUAUCCAUGGCCAGGUUGAAACCCCGGUAAGACGGGGUGGAGGACCGAACGGCAAAGUGUUGAAAAACUUUCCGAUGAGCUGUGGAUAGGGGUGAAAGGCUAAUCAAACCUGGAGAUAGCUGGUUCUCCCCGAAAUGCCUUUAGGGGCAGCCUCGCGUUAAGCUGUACGGGGGUAGAGCACUGGAUGGGCACGGGGUCCUACAAGACUACCAACCCCAACCAAACUCCGAAUACCGUUCAUGUGUUUCGCGGGAGUGAGGCUGCGAGGGAUAAGCUUCGUAGCCGUGAGGGAAACAACCCAGACCAUCAGCUAAGGCCCCAAAGUCAAUGCUAAGUGGCUAAGGAUGUGGGAUCGUUUUGACAGCCAGGAUGUUGGCUUAGAAGCAGCCAUACAUUUAAAGAGUGCGUAAUUGCUCACUGGUCUACAUGGCCCCGCGCCGAUAAUACUUGGGACUAAGCAUUGCGCCGAAGCUAUGGGAUGCUCGCAAGAGCAUCGGUAGGGGAGCGUUCUGUGCUGGGCGAAGGUAUCCCGUGAGGGGUGCUGGACGGCACAGAAGUGAUCAUGCCGGCAUGAGUAGCGAUAACGCAAGUGAGAACCUUGCGCACCGAAAGUCUAAGGUUUCCCGGGGAAGGCCAGUCCGCCCGGGGUUAGUCGGUCCCUAAGCCGAGGCCGAGAGGCGUAGGCGAUGGAAAGCAGGUAAAAUAUUCCUGCACUUGGAAACGGGCGACAAAGAAUCGUGAGGGGGGACGCAGAGGUGAAAGGUCAGCCACCGAUUGGAAAUGGUGGUCGAAGCCUGUAGGAGGACCGGGUAGGCAAAUCCGUCCGGUCUUAACUCUGAAGGGUGAUAGGGAAGUGAGCCUUCGGGCAAGCCAACUGACCCUAAACGUGCUGCCAAGAAAAGCCUCGCACGAGAGUUCGUUUUCAAACCGUACCGCAAACCGACACAGGUAGACGGGGAGAGAAUCCUAAGGUGCACGAGUGAUGCGCGGUCAAGGAACUCGGCCAAUUGUCUCCGUAACUUCGGGAGAAGGAGAGCCUGCGCAAGCAGGCCGCAGAGAAUCGGCCCUGGCGACUGUUUACCAAAAACACAGGUCUCUGCGAACACGUAAGUGGACGUAUAGGGACUGACACCUGCCCGGUGCUGGGAUGUUAAGGGGUGGUGUUAGCGCAAGCGAAGCACUAAACCGAAGCACCAGUAAACGGCGGCCGUAACUAUAACGGUCCUAAGGUAGCGAAAUUCCUUGUC
RNAcentral lists this ribosomal RNA (1436 nucleotides) under activated sludge metagenome. RNAcentral's name for it is "bacterial LSU rRNA". It matches the Rfam family "Bacterial large subunit ribosomal RNA", at positions 560 to 1973 of the family's 2925-position model. The record is from RNAcentral.